GUCACUUUUAAUUUGGAAGAAAAUUGUCUCUUUGGUUUUUUCUCUCUCUAGCUCCCUCUGGCCUCUGCUUCUUCUUUUCUUUCUAGAUUUGAAGAACUUUGGCGAUCUCUAUAAUAACCUUGUAGUUAUCUGAUGAUGGUAGAACGUUGGUACAGUAUUUUAGGCCUUGUUUGUGGCUGGUCAACCUAUAUUGUGUUCUUGGCAAGGUUGUGUCUAGUCUUGUGGGCUAGGGUUCGAGUUAUUGAGAGAUCCUUGUGGAUCGAUGACCCUAUAGUGGGUCUGAUUUGGUUUUCUCAACUGGUUGUACACUCUCUUGAAGGGCCUCAAGAAAAAGAUGAAAAAAAAAUUACGUGAUGGGAUUAUGACAACCAUGAAAAAAUGUGUGAACUUUGCCGGCCAAUUUUCGAGCUCUCCCUCUUCCGUGAAGAGAGAGUUUGAUGGAUGAAAUUUCUAGGGUUUGUGCAUGAAAGGAGUGUGUGAGGUUUGAACUGAGAAGACAAAGCUCCUGCAUGUUUGAGAAAUUGCAAGAUAAUGAAUUUUCAUUUCCUUCGAAAGAUGAUAUCAGUAAGUGGUCGUUUUCUUUUUUACUUUUGCAGUGUAACAAUAAUGAUGGGUCUAUUAAUUGGCAUAUACCUAGUGUACCCUCAAUUACAACAAAGAAGGAA
Molecule: long non-coding RNA, 665 nt
Filed under: Olea europaea subsp. europaea
Lineage: Eukaryota; Viridiplantae; Streptophyta; Magnoliopsida; Lamiales; Oleaceae
Source: RNAcentral